This 74-nucleotide transfer RNA is filed under the name Fidelibacterota bacterium. RNAcentral's name for it is "tRNA-His". It matches the Rfam family "tRNA". Rfam says of the family: Transfer RNA (tRNA) molecules are approximately 80 nucleotides in length. Their secondary structure includes four short double-helical elements and three loops (D, anti-codon, and T loops). Lineage: Bacteria; Pseudomonadati; Fidelibacterota. The record is from RNAcentral.
GUGGGUGUAGCUCAAUAGGUUAGAGCACCUGAUUGUGGUUCAGGAGGUUGUGGGUUCGAGACCCAUCACUCACC